UAUUUUGUGCUGGUUAGUAAUGCCAUCUAAGAACUGAAUUAGAUGGUUGUAGGUUCCAGGUUAUUAGUGCCUGCUCAGAAAAUAUUUUCUUAUAUUUUGCUCAUAUUUUUCUCCACAGUUCUGUACAGUUUCCCGGAGUAUUUCUGAGGCUUGAUGAGUGUUGUUUGUACUUCAUCAUAUGUACCAUGCACAAACAACUGUAUGCGUGGUCAGCCCCAGCUCUGUAAUCUAAAACAUCCAUUCGGAUGCUGAACACAUAGUAGCUUAAGAUAAAGACUUCUUCAGAGUUACCAAUGGACAGAAAAUCCGAAGGGAAAAUAGAUGUUGCAAGAAAAACUUUUAAUUGUUCCAAGGAUGAAUAUUGACCUUUCCCUUACAUGAAUGCAUGAAUGUUCAACAAAUUUGGACUGUGGUGAACUAUGGUUCUGCUAUAUCAUACACAGAGCAAGUCUUCACAGAAAGAAAUCUGAACAGUUAGUGUUGUAUAGAGGACAACUAACAGAUUAUGGGACAACAAAGCAGCUAGAAAUUCACAAAGAAGCCAUGAGAUACUGUCUCAAGACACAUAUCUCUAUUAAUGGAGCUUCUGUGCCCUGUCUGAUUCUGUCGUUCAACAGUGAUGACUUGUAUGCUGGACUCAAAAUCUCAUUUGUGUGAGGGACUGCUGAUUCUGGCUCUGUUUCUAUAUAUAUACAUGUAUGUUUGGCUUUUUUUUUUUUUUUUUUUUUUUCCAGUUACAAUAACCUAUAUUACAUAAACUGUGCAGCUACUGUUCCAACAUUGGCAGCUGUGGCUCAUCUCUCUGAUUUGUAUUGUUAUUUUGUUUGCUGACAAGAUUGUGCUACACACUUGUGAUGUGUAUUGCUGUUAAGAUGUAAAAAUUAAUGUAGUGUCAGCAGUGCCAAUUUUGAUGCUGCAUUGUGGAGUAUUUUCUCCUUGAGUUCAUAGUUGAGGCCUGCCUCUAUGGCAGGAAUGCAAGUGAUGUUUGUGGUGUUUAUAUUGCCAUGCCUUUUUUAAAAAUUUUAUUUAUUUAUUAUUAUUAAUUUGCCAUCUAUUUGGUGUUUUGACAAAGAGGUUUUGGUUUGUCUCAGGUGUCAGUAGCUUACCAGGGAUCAUUUAGUGAAAAAUUGUCCAUGACUUUGAUAUACAAAGAUACUGUGAAUGCCAUGAAUUAAAGCAAAGGACUUAAGUAAGAAUGUGUUUUAAAACUUUCAAAGUAUUUCCAAACUCAGUAUUGUCAAUAUAUAAAGAAGUUCCACUGAAAGCCUCAGUAUUCAGUAUGCUACCUACUAUGCAAAUAACUUCAGUCUCAGAUCCCCUUUUAUUUCAAAUGUUUUCUCAAGCCUGCUUGUAAUGUUCCAUCUGUUGAUUUGUUACCAAAGGUUACUGAAGAUACAAAAAAAGUUAAAUAUGGUAAAAAAAAGCAAGCUGCUAACUGACUGGUCUGAGGGAUUGGAAGAGGGAUAGAUUUCAUUGUAGUAUCAUUGCCUAAAAAUAUAAGCCCGUAGAGUGUGAGUUGCAAAAUAAAUAAGUAAAUAAAUAAAAUUAAAAAAUAGAAAGGAAAAAUAUAUGUGGUUUGCAUUACAGUGUUUACAAGCCAAGUGUUUACUGAGAGUUUCCCUGAUAGGUCUUAUGAGGUCAUGAUCCCAUACUUGCCAAAGUCAACAGAAAUAGUGUAGGCAUUGCUAUAUCCCAUUUUUCACAUUUAUUCAGUACACUGGAUUCUGAUACUUCUAUUUCUGUGGUUGUUUUGUUCUUUCACUCUUUCAUUCAAUAUUUUCAUUAAUUAAUCUUACAUUCUUGGUUCUAUAAUUUAAUUUUGGGUCCACACUUUGAGAUGAACUAUUUACCUUCUUAAAGCUCUUGUUUGCUGCCUGUAAUCUGUUUGUUCAUGCUUACGGGUAUACUUGCAAAAACAGGUGAUGGGUCUUUUUACAGCCAGUGGAUACAUUUCAUUUCAGAGUAAUUUUUCACUGCUCCAUAAAAGCCAGUGUUCACUCAAAAUUACCUGUUAAAGCUCCUGUAGUCGGGCAGUUCUGGCUUUGCUUCAGGUUUAAAAAGUUUAGGAUAUAAAGCCUCUAGCAGCUCUGGAUCAUCCCUAAUGGCUUCUAUCCAAGGAGACUGAUAAUACUUUGGCACAGAAGUAGUGUUGAACUUUUCAGGAGGAAUUUCUUUUAGUGGUCCAGAAUAUCCUGCAAGGAGAUCCAGGUAAACCAGUAUAACAGUAUAUUGAUUUUUCUGUUUCCUUACCAUCAUCCUAUGUAAAUAGGAAGUAAUAUACCAUUAUUUCACAGUUAGUUAAAGUGAACAAUUGAAUCAAGUGAGUUAACCAAAGCAACACAAUACCAGAAAGCUCACAGGAGGUAUUUGUAGCCUUUUAGAUAACUGGUCUGAAGUAUUCUACUCUUCUUUUGAGGGUAAGUUUAUUUUAGUUUUAUUUAAGUUUGUUUCUAUCAUUAUAAGCAUCUGUUUGAAAAAGGAGCACAUCUACACAGACCUUGGGCUGAAUUAACAAUUAAAUGUUAAAAACAGCCUUUUGGUUAAAAGUAAGAUAACUCUAUAGUUUUUGGAUGAGAUUUCCCAAAAGCAUUAAAAGGAGUUAAGGUCCCAGCCAUUCUAUCAGAUUUUUUGCCUCCAUUUGAUGCUUUAAAAUGUCAUACUUACAUGGCUCUUUGAUCAUUUUCAUCUUUUUGUUUGUUUGUUUGUUUGUUUUCUUUUCUUUUUGCUUUUAUUUUCCCCUCUCUAUAAUCAUCUGAGGAUCAGGCUCUGAUCAGAAUUUUACUAAACAAGUGAAUUCCUUAUUCAGUGUUAUUUCUUCUAAAGCCAAAUACGAUAUGGCACAAAUAAACAUAAGGGGAAAAAAGCCCAGACCUUACUGUGCAAUUUGAAGAAUUAGAAUCAGCUGAAGAAUUAGAACCAGCAAGGGAUUAUUCUAAUAUAUGAGUUUAUAGUAUUUAUUUGAAAAACAAGGGAAAUCUGUUUUCCUGUUUACCCUCACAUGACAUCUAGCUCUUUAAAUUAAUGCUGUUGCCUUUUGUAAGCUUAAAAAAAAAAAAAAAAAAAAAAAAGCACCCUGUGGUUUAAUAAAUACUCCUUUCACCAAAAAUAAAUAUUUCUUGCCUAAAGAAAACUUUAAGAUUUGUAUCAUGUUUUAGCAAUGGAAAUUACCUCAAUUUGCAUUGUAUUUGGCCCAUGGAUGCAGAGAGCCUUAGCUGUCACUAACAGAGUAGCAUUGACCUAGUUUACAUAGACUGGAAAAGGUCUGCACAAAACAUGCAUUGAGUAAUUCUGAACAAAGAAUGAAUUUGUAAAAACCACAGUCUGCUCAUGGAUAAUUCAUAAACAGGAAGAAGGGCUAUAUCACUGAAUAAAUUAAUUAAAACAAAUUAGCCUUCUCUAGUCUUCAAAGAAUACAAAAUAAGGCCUUCCUGUAGCUCACUGCUUUAAAUAAAGACAACAGUACCCUCACAGUUAAGGACUUAAAUAAAGCAGAACAGUGUAUACAGCCAGGGGCAAAUUCCUCUUUAAGUUACUUAUCUGUAAAGGGUUCCAGCAAAACUUGCAAUGACUUCAGAUGUCCAUUUACAGGUAAUUAAACUACAAUGGAUAACUUUCAGACUGUUAAGCAGUGUGUUGUAUCUUAGAAACUAGGGCAUUGAAAAGUCAGUAUAUUAAUCUGGUUUUAAAUCUGAAGAUCUGUUUCUCAAUGUUUAUAAGAUCAAUAAAUAUAUGAGCAGUCUCACUGGAAAAUAAUGCAUGCCUUCAGUUGAGGGAAAGGUAGUACAAUGGACAUAUCAAAUUGUUAAGAAC
Anas platyrhynchos (mallard) is the source of this 3810-nucleotide long non-coding RNA. RefSeq lists it as uncharacterized. Lineage: Eukaryota; Metazoa; Chordata; Aves; Anseriformes; Anatidae. The record is from RefSeq and is a predicted model, not a curated record.